Molecule: ribosomal RNA, 497 nt
Filed under: uncultured bacterium
Lineage: Bacteria
Description: partial 16S ribosomal RNA
Rfam family: Bacterial small subunit ribosomal RNA
Source: RNAcentral
GAUGAACGCUGGCGGCGUGCCUAAUACAUGCAAGUCGAGCGAACAGACGAGGAGCUUGCUCCUCUGACGGUAGCGGCGGACGGGUGAGUAACACGUGGAUAACCUACCUAUAAGACUGGGAUAACUUCGGGAAACCGGAGCUAAUACCGGAUAAUAUAUUGAACCGCAUGGUUCAAUAGUGAAAGACGGUUUUGCUGUCACUUAUAGAUGGAUCCGCGCCGCAUUAGCUAGUUGGUAAGGUAACGGCUUACCAAGGCAACGAUGCGUAGCCGACCUGAGAGGGUGACCGGCCACACUGGAACUGAGACACGGUCCAGACUCCUACGGGAGGCAGCAGUAGGGAAUCUUCCGCAAUGGGCGAAAGCUUGACGGAGCAACGCCGCGUGAGUGAUGAAGGUCUUCGGAUCGUAAAACUCUGUUAUUAGGGAAGAACAAAUGUGUAAGUAACUAUGCACGUCUUGACGGUACCUAAUCAGAAAGCCACGGCUAACUACGUG